GUAGCUUCAUACUACAUAAGUACAGUAUAGAUAGCUUCAUAGUACAAAAGUACAGUAUAGUUAGCUUCAUACUACAUAAGUACAGUAUACGUAGCUUCAUAGUACAUAAGUACAGUAUAGGUAGCUUCAUACUACAAAAGUACAGUAUAGUUAGCUUCAUACUACAUACGUACAGUAUAGGUAGCUUCAUAGUACAUAAGUACAGUAUAGGUAGCUUCAUAGUACAUAAGUACAGUAUAGGUAGAUUCAGAGUACAUAA
Long non-coding RNA from Haliotis rubra (blacklip abalone), 259 nucleotides. RefSeq lists it as uncharacterized. The transcript has 2 exons. NCBI's taxonomy places the organism in Eukaryota, Metazoa, Mollusca, Gastropoda, Lepetellida, Haliotidae. The record is from RefSeq and is a predicted model, not a curated record.